Molecule: ribosomal RNA, 526 nt
Filed under: uncultured bacterium
Lineage: Bacteria
Description: bacterial SSU rRNA
Rfam family: Bacterial small subunit ribosomal RNA
Source: RNAcentral
ACAUCCAGAGAACUUAGCAGAGAUGCUUUGGUGCCUUCGGGGAACUCUGAGACAGGUGCUGCAUGGCUGUCGUCAGCUCGUGUUGUGAAAUGUUGGGUUAAGUCCCGNAACGAGCGCAACCCUUAUCCUUUGUUGCCAGCGGUUCGGCCGGGAACUCAAAGGAGACUGCCGGUGAUAAACCGGAGGAAGGUGGGGAUGACGUCAAGUCAUCAUGGCCCUUACGGCCAGGGCUACACACGUGCUACAAUGGCGCAUACAAAGAGAAGCGACCUCGCGAGAGCAAGCGGACCUCAUAAAGUGCGUCGUAGUCCGGAUUGGAGUCUGCAACUCGACUCCAUGAAGUCGGAAUCGCUAGUAAUCGUAGAUCAGAAUGCUACGGUGAAUACGUUCCCGGGCCUUGUACACACCGCCCGUCACACCAUGGGAGUGGGUUGCAAAAGAAGUAGGUAGCUUAACCUUCGGGAGGGCGCUUACCACUUUGUGAUUCAUGACUGGGGUGAAGUCGUAACAAGGUAGGCGUAGUGCU